GUGGGGAAUUUUGGACAAUGGGCGCAAGCCUGAUCCAGCAAUGCCGCGUGCAGGAAGAAGGCCUUCGGGUUGUAAACUGCUUUUGUACGGAACGAAACGGUCCUGGUUAAUACCUGGGGCUAAUGACGGUACCGUAAGAAUAAGCACCGGCUAACUACGUGCCAGCAGCCGCGGUAAUACGUAGGGUGCGAGCGUUAAUCGGAAUUACUGGGCGUAAAGCGUGCGCAGGCGGUGCUGUAAGACAGGCGUGAAAUCCCCGGGCUCAACCGGGGAAUUGCGCUUGUGACUGCAGUGGUGGAGUACGGCAGAGGGGGAUGGAAUUCCGCGUGUAGCAGUGAAAUGCGUAGAUAUGCGGAGGAACACCGAUGGCGAAGGCAGUCCCCUGGGCCUGUACUGACGCUCAUGCACGAAAGCGUGGGGAGCAAACAGGAUUAGAAACCCGAGUAGUCC
Molecule: ribosomal RNA, 450 nt
Filed under: uncultured bacterium
Lineage: Bacteria
Description: partial 16S ribosomal RNA
Rfam family: Bacterial small subunit ribosomal RNA
Source: RNAcentral